UUAGAUAAAAUCAUAAUGACGAGUUAAUCACAACAAGCAUACAUUCCAAUAAACAUGUAACAUUGGUUUAUUUACUAUUUUGCCCAAAAUCGAGUUACUUACCAUAUUUAUUAUUGUCUUACCAUUUUUAUUUUUUCCUACCGGUAUCACUGGGAGUCCAUGGUGAUCCUCGCUACACGUAGGUACAUAAUACUUCUGUUGUAAAUCAACGGUUGUCCUCAUAUCCCGUCCGAUAAUGGACACCACAUACUAAAGACUGCCUCAAU
Molecule: long non-coding RNA, 266 nt
Filed under: Carica papaya (papaya)
Lineage: Eukaryota; Viridiplantae; Streptophyta; Magnoliopsida; Brassicales; Caricaceae
Description: long non-coding RNA (CPAP_LNC016170)
Source: RNAcentral